AGCAAUUUUAUGGUCCUUGAGGAGGUACCAUGAGGUACCAAAAAUUUAUUGUAAAAUUUGGUACCUCAUAGUAUCUAAGUACCAAAUUUACAAUAAAAAAAGUGGUACCUCAUGGUACCUCCUCGAGUACCGUAAAAUUGCUCAUUAAGU
This 150-nucleotide unclassified non-coding RNA is filed under the name Oryza sativa (Asian cultivated rice). RNAcentral describes it as "partial microRNA MIR440b-35 precursor". The record is from RNAcentral. Lineage: Eukaryota; Viridiplantae; Streptophyta; Magnoliopsida; Poales; Poaceae.